Molecule: unclassified non-coding RNA, 393 nt
Filed under: fungal sp.
Lineage: Eukaryota; Fungi
Description: partial internal transcribed spacer region
Rfam family: Eukaryotic small subunit ribosomal RNA (bases 1-46)
Source: RNAcentral
AAGUCGUAACAAGGUUUCCGUAGGUGAACCUGCGGAAGGAUCAUUAACACGUAUCCAACGUUAAACCCCCCGUGCACACAGAGACCAGCUCCCCUCAAUUUCGGUCUUUUGGCAAUCUCUGGUAAAUCAUCGCCGAACAGUUUUGAUUCAGGGACUUCUGCGAAGAGGGUGAAUGAGGCGAGGCAAUGGACCUGGCAUUCCUCUGCUUGUUGGUGUCUGAAAGUGUCACUAACUCUGUACGAAUGGCGCAGUCACGUUCGCUGGAGGCCGACACGGCCGGCGACCGGGUCCCUGAGCUCUGCUCCCUAAUAACCUUUGCAUGAAAACGGGCCUGCGCUUAAUUGUGCGGCCACCAAACUCGAACAACUGUUAACAAUGGAUAUCUUGGUUCUC